UAAAUACUACUCGAUGACCGAUAGUGAACUAGUAGGGCGAUUGAACGGUGAAAAGAACAGCUGUUAGCUGAGUCAAAAGAACCUGAAACCAUAUACUUACAAGCGGUCGGAGCCCCAAGUGGGUGACGGCGUACCUUUUGCAUAAUGGGCCGGCGAGUGCAUGUUUGCGGCAAGGCUAAGGCGUUGAGCGCUGGAGCCGUAGUGAAAGCGAGCCUUAAGAUGGCGUGAAGUCGUAGGCAUGCGGCCCGAAACCUAGUGAUCUACCCAUGGGCAGAGUGAACGUUCCGUAAAAGGAACGGGAGGCUCGAAGCCGUGAACGUUGAAAAGUUCUGGCAUGACCUGUGGGGAGGAGUGAAAGUCUAAUCAAACCUGGAGAUAGCUCGUUCUCUCCGAAAUGGCUUUAGGGCCAGCCUCGGGCAUUACCCUGCGGGGGUAGAGCGACGGAAUUCGGCCGGGGGGCUUCCCGCCUACCCGCCGAAACCCAACUCCGAAUACCGCGAAAUGGACCCCGGGAGUCAGAGCGUGGGGGAUAAGCUUCACGCUCGAGAGGGAAACAACCCAGACCGCCGACCAAGGCCCCCAAGUUGACGCUCAGUGGCAAAGGAAGUGGGAUCGCGGUGACAGCCGGGAUGUUGGCUUAGAAGCAGCCACCAUUUCAAAAGUGCGUAACAGCUUACCGGUCGAGCCAUCCCGCGCCGAAAAUGACGGGGACUCAAGCGUCACGCCGCAGUCGCGGGUUCGAUCGCAAGAUCGAGCAGUAGGAGAGCGUCGCCAUCCGCGGCGAAGCCGUACGGACAACGAACGGUGGAGCGAUGGCGAGUGCGUAUGCCGGAACGAGUAACGAUAAGACGGGUGGGAAGCCCGUCCGCCGAAAGCACAAGGUUUCCUGGGGAAGGUCAAUCCGCCCAGGGUCAGUCGGGACCUAAGUCGAGGCCCAGGGGCGUAGACGAUGGACACGCGGUUAAUAUUCCGCGACCCGAUGGUGAGGUUGAACCAGCGAGGACGCCGGGAAGUGAACGGUCGGGGUGAUAGAUUACCCCGUCCCGCAAGGGCGACGGCAUUCGAUCCGGAAGCCCCCCUUCACCCGGCCGCGAAAAGCCCGCCGUGGACGAGCCAUCGGCCCGUACCGCAAUCCGACACAGGUGUGCUAGGCGAGCAUCCGAAGGCGUUCGGGAGAACCCUCGUGAAGGAACACCCCAAAAUCACCCCGUAACUUCGGUAUAAGGGGUGCUCAUCUGGCGACAGGUGAGCCGCAGAGAAUCGGCUCUAGCGACUGUUUAUCAAAAACACAGGACUCUGCCAACUCGCAAGAGGACGUAUAGAGUCUGACGCCUGCUCGGUGUCGGUAGGUUAAGGGAGCCGGUUAGCGCAAGCGAGGCUGGCGACCGAAGCCCCGAUAAACGGCGGCCGUAACUAUGACGGUCCUAAGGUAGCGAAGUUCCUUGUCGGGUAAGUUCCGACCUGCAUGAAUGGCGUAACGACUGGAGCGCUGUCUCCACGGGGGACCCGGUGAAAUUGUAGCCGUGGUGAAGAUGCCACGUACCCGCGGUCAGACGGAAAGACCCCGUGAACCUUUACUGCAGGUUGACACUGGC
Molecule: ribosomal RNA, 1595 nt
Filed under: Selaginella bryopteris
Lineage: Eukaryota; Viridiplantae; Streptophyta; Lycopodiopsida; Selaginellales; Selaginellaceae
Description: bacterial LSU rRNA
Rfam family: Bacterial large subunit ribosomal RNA
Source: RNAcentral